This is a long non-coding RNA of Phycodurus eques (leafy seadragon), 2540 nucleotides long. RefSeq lists it as uncharacterized. The transcript is spliced from 7 exons. The record is from RefSeq and is a predicted model, not a curated record. NCBI's taxonomy places the organism in Eukaryota, Metazoa, Chordata, Actinopteri, Syngnathiformes, Syngnathidae.
AAAAGCAGAACGGUCGCUGUCGGAUGUCGCAUUCAAGAUCAGGUGCAGGUGUACGUAAUGUUUUGGUCUCUUACCUGGAUGGAUCCUCCUCUACGUCCUCACCUGUUUGUGGAUCUCAGAUCUGGACACUUGCUGCAGGUUCUCCAGGUGCGAGUGGAACAGGUUGCUGCGGAUGAGAGAGACGCCCAGCACAGACUCGAUGAUGUAGCCCACGGUGCAGUCGUCAGGCAGGCGGAUCUUCUCCGCCGUGUUCAUGAAAUGGCCGCCGCUGGAGUGACACCACACGAAGGCUCAUUUGACCGAGAGCUGCGUCCGGGCUGUAGAAAUGGCCUCUAUUGUUCUUCGCUGACCACGGGAGGAACCGGGAGCAGUCGGCCAUUCCUGCACACUUGUUAUCAUUCAAAUGGUGGCUUUCACCAGCGAGCGCCGUCCGGUGCCGGGAUGCUAACCAAAGGCCCGUUUGGAGCGACGGGCAGCCGCUCGGCGCCUCGGCAACGUCACAGCGACGCUACGUGAUGAAGUCCAACCUGGUCCGUUCAGGGAAUCCCCCGUACUUGCGUCACCAAGAUGAAUUCCCGCCGCUGGCUUUGGAUCAGCUCCCUACGAAGCUCCGGCAGAGAAGCAGUUUAGCCCAUGUGUGCCGCGGUAAACAUCCUCCCACCCAUCCACGCCCACUGACCCACCACUCCAGCGGAUGAAACUGGCCUGCCUGCUCCGAAUCCCAAAUGACAAACGACUCUCAAAUGAUCUUUAUACGGUACAGGUGAACCUAAUGUUGUGUCCAAUGUGUGCAAAAGUCACGUUGGAGAGAAAUGACCAAAGAAGCUGCUGAGACUACUGUUGCCUACAAGAAAAAAAAUUUAAAUGGAGGUACGCUCAUGGGCCAAUACAAACAUGGAAGCCUCAUCAGUGCGUGAGCAGAAAACAAAACAGUAUUGACGGAAAAGCUCCCGACUUCCCGGGUCACUGUCUCUGACCCGGCCUGGACAUCACCAGGAAGCCUCCUUGACAGUCUGUGAGGAUGAGAGUCAGGUUGGCGGGUGGCGGGUGGUCUUGAUCAUGAGAAUGCGGGUGAUUAUUCCCAUCCAGUCCCAGGGAGUUCAACUUAGCUGCUCCCUUUCAUAGACACGUAUUGAAUAGAUCAGAUGCAAGGGCGCUUUCGCUAUUGCCUGCCAAAGGUCGCCUCGCCUGCAGUGGAAAUAGGAUCACUAAACUACACUCCCAGGCCACAUUAUUAGGUACACCUACACAAUCCAAUGAGAUGACAUAAAAAAAAAAAAAAACACCAGCACAUUUACGUUAUUAGUAACUUUAUACAUUUUAAUAUGAACAGUCAUAUUGUUUUUAUGACAUAGUGAUGCCUUGAGAUACUAGUUUAAUUUGAUCCGUGACCAGGUUCGUCUCAGACUCAAAACACUCAAAUCAUCAUUCCCCAUCGAAAUGCAUAGAAAUAUUAUUAAUCCGUUCCAGACACAAUUUUUAAUCAGGAAAAUACCGAUCGAUAACAUUGUACAAUUGUACAUUGUAAUUUCAUCUGUGGCGUGUAGCACCACCACUCCCACUCGCCACUUUGGCGGGUUGUAUUGCAAUCAGGAAAAAUGUACAUCAGCGUCAUCAGCUUGUCGAGGUGCACCUAAUAAAGUAACCGCUGAUUACAAAUUGUUGGUGGGUCUUCAUGCCACGCAUUGAAAUGCACAGUAUCGUUAAAGCUAUUCUUGCACAAGCUUUGUACCGGUCAGCAUCUCCUUAAGGGGACAAAAAAGAAGAGUGCUUGGACUUGAUCCAAGGUCAAGCUCUUUUCAGUGUGUUGGCGUCGAGUGGAAUAAUACGAAGACAAACAGUGACGAUGAAGUGAGCCAGGCAACUUUGACCUCCAGCUGCACUGCUUCCUCUCUGGCCUCCCUGGGUGGGACUCGCCGCUGGCUUCGAAAACUCUCACGUAUCUGCUGUACCCCCCCACCCUACGCUCCCCUCUCCUCUCCAAUCACAUCUUCAAUUAGAGCCUUAAGAGCCAUAUUUUUCCCCUAGCUACACGGUCACUGAGAGUACAGAUGCUGGAGGCCGGCAGGGUUGUGGCCAUUGGGGUCCGGCCACAGGAGAUAUGAAUCUGCUGCCGUCGAGUACGCAAAUCAAAAAUAAACUGGAGAACAAACUGAAUUAGUGCGGAUGGCUAAUGUGAGACGAUUGAUCCUCGAUAAUAACGUUGGUUUGUAAGACAAUCCUGGAACUGUGAGAGUGUGUGCGAGUCCAGCCAAAGCUGCCUUUCAUUUGCCCUUGCAGCUCAGCCUCCCUGAUGGAGUACACUCAAAUCUACAUUCCAAAAGCGGUGCCUUGAGAUACAAGUUUAAUUUGUUCUGUGUCCGUCCUCUUAAUUAAAAAAACUCUAAUCUCAAAUCAUCUUUCCCCAUUGAAAUGAAUGAAAAUGCCAUUAAUCUGUUUCAGCCCCCGAAAGGAAAAAACAAUGUUUUUAAUAAGGAAGAUAGCACUCUAUAAUAUAGUAGUUUGUACCCUGUUUAAGAAACUGUUUUUUUAAACAGUUU